RNAcentral lists this ribosomal RNA (440 nucleotides) under uncultured bacterium. RNAcentral describes it as "partial 16S ribosomal RNA". It matches the Rfam family "Bacterial small subunit ribosomal RNA", at positions 338 to 795 of the family's 1533-position model. The record is from RNAcentral.
CCUACGGGUGGCAGCAGUAGGGAAUAUUGCACAAUGGGGGAAACCCUGAUGCAGCGACGCCGCGUGAGUGAAGAAGUAAUUCGUUAUGUAAAGCUCUAUCAGCAGGGAAGAAAAUGACGGUACCUGAGUAAGCAGCCCCGGCUAGCUACUUACCAGCAACCGCGGUAAUACGUAGGGGGCAAGCGUUAGCCGGAUUUAAUGGGGGUAAAGGUAGCGUAAACGGCAGUGCAAGUCUGGAGUGAAAGGCGGGGGCUCAACCGCCGGAGUGCUCUGGAAACUGGACGGCUGGAGUGCAGUAGAGGUAAGUGGAAUUCCUAGUGUAGCGGUGAAAUGCGUAGAGAUUAGGAGGAACACCAGUGGCGAAGGCGGCUUACUGGACUGUAACUGACGUUGAGGUGCGAAAGCGUGGGGAGCAAACAGGAUUAGAUACCCUUGUAGUC